CCUUCACUGUUUGAUGCAAAUUUUCACACUUGACUUAGGUGCAGAGAUCCGGUUACUAAGCUUAGGGUAAUCCACAUAUACUCUAUGUUUUGCACUUUUAUUUAAGACAUGUAGCUCUUUCCUUAAAUUAAAAUUUUUGAUUGGAGUAUAUAUCAAUCAUCAAUUUUAAAUGAUAAUUGAGUCCUCAGAUGGCCUCUCAAUCAGCACUUAUUUUGCCUUGUCAGUGUGCAUGUGUAAUUAGAAGUGCUAAUAUCCUUUAGAUGAUCUAAGUAAAUUAUUAAAAGUAUGCCUAGCUAAUCUACUCCUUAACUCACUACAGUUAUUAGCAAAUACUUUCUAACUCUUAUUAUUCUUUUUCUAGUCUAUUUUACUCAAGACACGAUUUAUUCAUUUUUUUUUAUCCUCCAACAUAAAUUUAUUAUUUCUAUGCAAGAAAAAGAAAGAUGUCACCUGGUGAAUAUGUGUUCUUUGUUGGAGAUGAUCUUGGUGUGAUGUUGGUCUCAAGUCCGAAGCCCAAAGAUUGAUAUCUUUAUUUAUUCAAUAGAAAAAAUGUUAGUUUUUAAAAAAAAUUGAGUUGCCUCCCAGAAGCACUAAGUUUAAUGUCUUCAGCCAGAUAAAAUAUUUCAAGCAAUUUAAUCAUGAUAAGUUGGCUCAUAGAGAACCAUGACUUCGUCAAUAGAUUCUUUGGAUAAUUUCAAGAAUGAUUUUAAUCUUUGACC
This 719-nucleotide long non-coding RNA is filed under the name Elaeis guineensis (African oil palm). Its description in RNAcentral is "long non-coding RNA (EGUI_LNC069368)". The record is from RNAcentral. Lineage: Eukaryota; Viridiplantae; Streptophyta; Magnoliopsida; Arecales; Arecaceae.